RNAcentral lists this ribosomal RNA (233 nucleotides) under Aeromonas hydrophila. RNAcentral's name for it is "partial 23S ribosomal RNA". It matches the Rfam family "Bacterial large subunit ribosomal RNA", at positions 1459 to 1689 of the family's 2925-position model. Lineage: Bacteria; Pseudomonadati; Pseudomonadota; Gammaproteobacteria; Aeromonadales; Aeromonadaceae. The record is from RNAcentral.
UUGCGAUGGGGGGACGGAGAAGGCUAGGUGGGCCAGGCGACGGUUGUCCUGGUGAAAGUGCGUAGGUGGUGUUUCUAGGCAAAUCCGGAGACACAACACUGAGACACGAGACGAACACACUACGGUGUGGAAGCCAUUGAUGCCCUGCUUCCAGGAAAAGCCUCUAAGCUUCAGAUUACAAGUCAUCGUACCCCAAACCGACACAGGUGGUCGGGUAGAGAAUACCAAGGCGC